UUUCAAGAGUAUGAAUCUGAUUAAAAUAUAUAAAUAAAUCAAAACAAUAGUUAACCCAAUAAUCAAUAAUAAGUCGAGCUUCCGUUAGAAUUGAAGAUUUUCCCCAUAACAAACUUGAAACUAGUCUAGAUUACCCGGACUUAUCGAGGCUAUGAAUAUAAAGAAGAAUUUGAAGAGGUGAGCUUGGACGCGAUAUGGAAAAUAUAAAUUCUGUAAAGCUGAAAGAACUGAAAACUAGACAGUUACUACAAGUAGAGGUAGAGAGACUGAAAAAAAAAUUAACAGAAGUUGCACUAAAAUGGAUGAAGAAUCCUGCUUAUAAAAACGUGUUACAAACUAUUGAAUCUAAGCAAACUAAGGUUGAAAGUUAUAUGAAUUUGCUGAGCUUACACCGCUUCAACUAUGUAUUCGAAAAAUUUUUGGACGAUGAUUUUUCGCUGUGAAAAAAGGAUGAAAAACGAGGAGAAAGUAUCAAUCCAUCACUUCCAAGGUACUGACGAUUUUCUAGGGAGUUCGAAACUACUAGAGGCCGAAAAUAAGAACUGUUACUUUGACUUGUAGUUUUCGAACGUCGCUGUGAGGCUUGCUAAGAGUUUGAAUUGAGCACUUUGAGGGAUCUGUUGAUUUUAAUCUGAAGAGUUGAGUUAGCUUCGACCUUGCAGCUUUUCCUCACCGACUCUUUUUCUUUUUUUACAGCAAUUAUGCUUAUUUGGUAGCUCUACUGUUUGAGCAGAUUGAUAUUACCGUGUGUCCAUUGAGUCAAUUGAGUAACAAACGUCAAUAUUCAAUUACAGCUGCUUGGAAUUUUUAUGUAUUAAAUGUACAGGGUGUUUCUAUUUUCGACCCACAACCUCUACCACACAAUAAAUGAUUAAUUUGCCAUAAAUCAAGUACGUCUUUAAAUUGUUCUUUUUCGAAUUGAAUUCUAGCUGUUAGACCUUGUUUAGAUUCGAUUAUUGUUUGGUAUACUAAGGACUUCAUAUAGUCCCAUAUAAAAAUAUCGAUAGGAUUUAAGUCAGGUGAUCUUGGAGGCCAAUAAUCGAUCAAUACAUUUUUCUCUAAAACGUCUGUUUUAAGUAAUUUCUUCAGGCUGUUGCAGAAUGAACUAAUGCCGUUGGCGGUCGAAUAUAGAAACACCCUGUACAUUGACAACUGAUAUACGCCAAAAUAGGGUUUAUUAAAAAUUAUUUGACUUGAUUUGUACUCGAUUUUAGAUCUGUUUUCUUUGAAAAUCGGUUUAAAAUAAUAGAUAAAAAUUUGACGUUUAGAUCUACUUCGUUUUUUAUCAAAAUGUAUUUGUAUGAAGAAUUUUUCUAACAAUAUUUUCAAAAAAUAAAAAGAAAUUAUAUCUUUACACGUAUUAUAUUUUGUUUUCUUUUCAAAGAUUAUUUUUUUCUGUUUAUAUGUUUAUGUGGUUUAUAUUUUAUUUCAGUUAGAAUUAUUUUAUGUCUAAUGCCACAGUGAUACAUUUUGGAAAAUAUUUGAAAAAUUUAAUUUCUUUUCAUUAUUUCUUGUCAGUACUUCUGUACAAUAAAUUAUUUAUUCUAAAUUUGUAUAAAUGUUUUUGAAAAAUAAUUGCAGCUUAUUAAUAUAGUUUAAAAUAAUUCUUUUUACUAAAAUUAAAUUUAAAAUAGUUUUUUCUUCGAUUUCACAAUAUAAUAUAGUUUAAUUUAUAAAUGAAUCGAAAUUUAUAUCGUUAAUAUUUUCUACAAGUUUAUAAUCCUUUUUUUUUUUUAAAUUUUAAUUAUUAAAAAUGUUAAUGAAUUAAGUACCUCUUUAAAAAUCGCAUAAAUCUUUUUUGAAAAACUCACUUGAACCAAAUAUACACUAAGAACAACACAAAAAUCAUUCACUAAAAUACGCGAUGGGACUAGAAAACGCGCUACGCCCAAUUUUCAUAAAAUCGUCAACACAUUCAUGUAAAUCUAAUAAAAUUUUCAGUAAAAUAUUGUUUAAUAUAUAUUUCUUGUACUUUCACUGACCAAUAGCGGACCACACGAUAUCCCCUCCGUUACCUGAAUCAAACGUGGAUUUUGUUGACAAUCUAGCCGGUAAGUUUCAGGUACUGGAAAUGUGUAGGUACUGUUCAAAAUUGAACCAAUUGAUUACAUGAUGUAUAUUUAUAAAUAAAAACGUUUUAUUAUACCUUAUAGGUACAAAAUGUUUGUAGAUGUGAAAUUUUUUCGUAAAUAUACGGGGUUAUGACGAAUUCAAUAACCUGUUCAUUUGAUACGAAUAUGACAGCUACAACAUGGCGUUUCGCUAGCAGUGACGUCACGCUUCUCUGAUUGGCGUUUACUGCCACGUGAUUAAACAUACUUUUAUGGUGAUUAUGUUUUAUUAAAUUUUAUAUUUCAAAUCAAUAUAAAAUUCUACAACAAA
Molecule: long non-coding RNA, 2382 nt
Organism: Diorhabda sublineata
Lineage: Eukaryota; Metazoa; Arthropoda; Insecta; Coleoptera; Chrysomelidae
Exons: 2
Source: RefSeq, a predicted model, not a curated record